RNAcentral lists this ribosomal RNA (435 nucleotides) under uncultured bacterium. RNAcentral describes it as "bacterial SSU rRNA". It matches the Rfam family "Bacterial small subunit ribosomal RNA", at positions 43 to 524 of the family's 1533-position model. The record is from RNAcentral.
CAGGCCUAACACAUGCAAGUCGAACGAGCUCUUCGGAGCUAGUGGCGCACGGGUGCGUAACGCGUGGGAAUCUGCCCUUAGGUUCGGAAUAACUCAGGGAAACUUGAGCUAAUACCGGAUGAUGUCUUCGGACCAAAGAUUUAUCGCCUGAGGAUGAGCCCGCGUCGGAUUAGCUAGUUGGUGAGGUAAAGGCUCACCAAGGCGACGAUCCGUAGCUGGUCUGAGAGGAUGAUCAGCCACACUGGGACUGAGACACGGCCCAGACUCCUACGGGAGGCAGCAGUGGGGAAUAUUGGACAAUGGGCGAAAGCCUGAUCCAGCAAUGCCGCGUGAGUGAUGAAGGCCUUAGGGUUGUAAAGCUCUUUUACCCGGGAUGAUAAUGACAGUACCGGGAGAAUAAGCCCCGGCUAACUCCGUGCCAGCAGCCGCGGUAAU